RNAcentral lists this ribosomal RNA (559 nucleotides) under uncultured bacterium. RNAcentral describes it as "bacterial SSU rRNA". It matches the Rfam family "Bacterial small subunit ribosomal RNA", at positions 119 to 674 of the family's 1533-position model. The record is from RNAcentral.
CGGAACGUGCCCGAUCGUGGGGGAUAACGGAGCGAAAGCUUUGCUAAUACCGCAUACGUCCUACGGGAGAAAGCAGGGGACCUUCGGGCCUUGCGCUAUCAGAUGAGCCUAGGUCGGAUUAGCUAGUUGGUGGGGUAAUGGCUCACCAAGGCGACGAUCCGUAACUGGUCUGAGAGGAUGAUCAGUCACACUGGAACUGAGACACGGUCCAGACUCCUACGGGAGGCAGCAGUGGGGAAUAUUGGACAAUGGGCGAAAGCCUGAUCCAGCCAUGCCGCGUGUGUGAAGAAGGUCUUCGGAUUGUAAAGCACUUUAAGUUGGGAGGAAGGGCAUUAACCUAAUACGUUAGUGUUUUGACGUUACCGACAGAAUAAGCACCGGCUAACUCUGUGCCAGCAGCCGCGGUAAUACAGAGGGUGCAAGCGUUAAUCGGAAUUACUGGGCGUAAAGCGCGCGUAGGUGGUUUGUUAAGUUGGAUGUGAAAGCCCCGGGCUCAACCUGGGAACUGCAUCCAAAACUGGCAAGCUAGAGUACGGUAGAGGGUGGUGGAAUUUCCUGU